AGGUAGAUGCACCCUGACGAUGUUCCCCCGGCCCCGGCUGGGGGAUUUUUGU
This is a small RNA of Limnothrix sp. P13C2, 52 nucleotides long. It matches the Rfam family "Nitrogen stress-induced RNA 1". The record is from Rfam. NCBI's taxonomy places the organism in Bacteria, Bacillati, Cyanobacteriota, Cyanophyceae, Pseudanabaenales, Pseudanabaenaceae.